AUUGAACGCUGGCGGCAGGCCUAACACAUGCAAGUCGAACGGUAACAGGAAACAGCUUGCUGUUUCGCUGACGAGUGGCGGACGGGUGAGUAAUGUCUGGGAAACUGCCUGAUGGAGGGGGAUAACUACUGGAAACGGUAGCUAAUACCGCAUAACGUCGCAAGACCAAAGAGGGGGACCUUCGGGCCUCUUGCCAUCGGAUGUGCCCAGAUGGGAUUAGCUAGUAGGUGGGGUAACGGCUCACCUAGGCGACGAUCCCUAGCUGGUCUGAGAGGAUGACCAGCCACACUGGAACUGAGACACGGUCCAGACUCCUACGGGAGGCAGCAGUGGGGAAUAUUGCACAAUGGGCGCAAGCCUGAUGCAGCCGCGCCGCGUGUAUGAAGAAGGCCUUCGGGUUGUAAAGUACUUUCAGCGGGGAUGAAGGGAGUAAAGUGAAUACCUUUGCUCAUUGACGUUACCCGCAGAAGAAGCACCGGCUAACUCCGUG
This 490-nucleotide ribosomal RNA is filed under the name uncultured bacterium. RNAcentral's name for it is "partial 16S ribosomal RNA". It matches the Rfam family "Bacterial small subunit ribosomal RNA", at positions 30 to 507 of the family's 1533-position model. The record is from RNAcentral.